Molecule: ribosomal RNA, 253 nt
Filed under: uncultured bacterium
Lineage: Bacteria
Description: partial 16S ribosomal RNA
Rfam family: Bacterial small subunit ribosomal RNA
Source: RNAcentral
UACGUAGGUGACAAGCGUUAUCAGGAAUUACUGGGCGUAAAGCGCACGCAGGUGGCUACUUAAGUCUGACGUGAAAGCUCCUGGCUUAACUGGGAGAGGUCGUUGGAAACUGAGUGGCUUGAGGCGAUGGGAGGGGUAUGGAAUUCCCGGUGUAGUGGUGGAAUGCGUAGAGAUCGGGAGGAACACCAGUGGCCACAGCUAUACCCUAGCGUUAGCCUGACGCUCAUGUGCGAAAGCGUGGGGAGCGAACGGG